AUGUAAAUCCCGUCAUGUAUCGGCUGCUAGUUGUUUCAUACUCCUAUAGUGCAGGUUGCUAGCUAUGUCAUGUUAGACCCCAGAAAUGUCGGCUGCUAUAAGUCGUGAAAUGUCUGCUGCCACCUACUUUUGCGUUAAAAUAU
Non-coding RNA from Caenorhabditis elegans, 143 nucleotides. NCBI's taxonomy places the organism in Eukaryota, Metazoa, Nematoda, Chromadorea, Rhabditida, Rhabditidae. The record is from Ensembl.